GACGAACGCUGGCGGCGUGCCUAAUACAUGCAAGUCGAGCGCAGGAAACUGACGGAACUCUUCGGAGGGAAGGCAGUGGAAUGAGCGGCGGACGGGUGAGUAACACGUAAGGAACCUGCCUCAAGGAUUGGGAUAACUCCGAGAAAUCGGAGCUAAUACCGGAUAGUUCAACGGACCGCAUGGUCCGCUGAUGAAAGGCGCUUCGGCGUCACCUUGAGAUGGCCUUGCGGUGCAUUAGCUAGUUGGUGGGGUAACGGCCCACCAAGGCGACGAUGCAUAGCCGACCUGAGAGGGUGAUCGGCCACCCUGGGACUGAGACACGGCCCAGACUCCUACGGGAGGCAGCAGUAGGGAAUCUUCCACAAUGGACGAAAGUCUGAUGGAGCAACGCCGCGUGAGUGAUGGAGGUUUUCGGAUCGUAAAACUCUGUUGUAAGGGAAGAACACGUACGAGAGGGAAUGCUCGUACCUUGACGGUACCUUACGAGAAAGCCACGGCUAACUACGUGCCAGCCGCCGCGGUAA
This 524-nucleotide ribosomal RNA is filed under the name uncultured bacterium. RNAcentral describes it as "partial 16S ribosomal RNA". It matches the Rfam family "Bacterial small subunit ribosomal RNA", at positions 28 to 523 of the family's 1533-position model. The record is from RNAcentral.